Molecule: non-coding RNA, 115 nt
Organism: Triticum aestivum (bread wheat)
Lineage: Eukaryota; Viridiplantae; Streptophyta; Magnoliopsida; Poales; Poaceae
Source: Rfam
CAUGUACUCCCUCCGAUCCAUAUCACUUGUCACUCAAAUGGAUGUAUCUAGACGUAUUUUAGUGCUAGAUACAUCCGUUUGAGCGACAAGUAAUAUGGAUCGGAGGGAGUAGCUU